RNAcentral lists this transfer RNA (144 nucleotides) under Hypomontagnella monticulosa. RNAcentral describes it as "tRNA-Thr". It matches the Rfam family "tRNA". From Rfam's summary of the family: Transfer RNA (tRNA) molecules are approximately 80 nucleotides in length. Lineage: Eukaryota; Fungi; Ascomycota; Sordariomycetes; Xylariales; Hypoxylaceae. The record is from RNAcentral.
GCCCGACUAGCUCAUCGGUAGAGCGCCUCACUAGUAUAGUUGUGUACAUAAAUUCCAUAUAGGCUGAGUCCACGUAAGGGCUUGGCCAGGGAAAGGUAGCAUUGUACAAUGAGGAGGCAACAGGUUCGAUUCCUGUGUUGGGCA